Molecule: transfer RNA, 74 nt
Filed under: Candidatus Roizmanbacteria bacterium
Lineage: Bacteria; Candidatus Roizmaniibacteriota
Description: tRNA-Thr
Rfam family: tRNA
About the family: Transfer RNA (tRNA) molecules are approximately 80 nucleotides in length. Their secondary structure includes four short double-helical elements and three loops (D, anti-codon, and T loops).
Source: RNAcentral
GCCUUUUUAGCUCAACGGUAGAGCAACUGUAUCGUAAACAGUAGAUGUCAGUUCAAUUCUGACAAAAGGCUCAA